UGUGGGUCAGCGACCUGUGCCCAGGUGGACUAAUCCCCGUAAAAAAAAAAUGUGUGGGGAAGCAUCUUCCUCUCAAGCAAGGGUUACCUCAUGAAUGUGGAGGGGUAUUGAUGACAGUUAUGAUAUUGAACGUGAGAUGUUGGAGGGAAUGUAUCAGCGUAUUAAAGCGCAAGAGUUUUGACCUGGUCAUGAUCACGUUACUCAAGUUCUAAAGGUGCAACAGACUAGGCAAAAAGCCCAAUUUGGCUCUACCUCAUCGUCGACUUGUAUGUUAUUGUCGAUUGUAUGAGAUUCCCGAUAUGACAAAGAAAGAGAGGGUUGGAGUUCACCAGUGAGAAGUCUUCCUUUUCAAUGACCUUCCGGAAGUAACCAAGAUUUUCUCCAAAAAGAAAAGUUCUGUAACAUAUACAUUUAGGCAGAGCUUCCCUCUUGCCGGUCUUGCUGUUUCCAUCAAGGAAGUGCCACGUAUGUACUGUACAGUAAUAGUCUGUUUAAAUAUCAUUUGGAUUGGUAUAGGAAAUGAAAUUACAAUGUUGAAUGUUACCUUUCUCUACCAAAAUUUAAUAAGAGAAGCUAAAAUAACCUACACCUGAAUUAAUAAUGUAAAUUUUAUUCAACACCGUGUGGACAAUAUAGUACUGAUAAUUUUCAAUGCACGCAGUGAACAUGAUCAUACCAAAUUUUGUGAAGAUUUGAAGGAAAAUGUGUGUGAAAUGGAUGAGAUGGAAACUCUUAGAAUUGAAGGGGAGCUGGAGAGACAAGGCAUCUUUAAGAGCAUCAAGACCCAGUUCUAUGGCCAAGAACCGUGACUGGUGUAGCUGAUAUGGAAUUACUGACUGCCAAUGAAAAAAAUGGAACUCUUUAAAGCUGAUUCUACUUUAAAGAGAUCAGCUCUUAGCAAUUCUCUGUUGGAUAUGCAUGAGGCUGGUAAGUGUAAUUUAUCUUCUUAGGGAAGUUCCAGGUAUGUACAGUAUGUAUUACCUUUUCCAAGAAUUUGCUCACAAGAAAGUUAUAGUAUAGUGAUGAUAGCAAUGAAGAUUCAUGUGUAAUCAAUUUUGUGUAAUGUGUAAUCACCUCAGAAACCCAUACCGGUAGUUAGCUAGUAAUUAGCUCUGAAAAAAUUUCAUUGCAAAUUUCCGAGUUUCAAUACGCCCACUAAUACCCACAAUCAAUUUGUGGGCCAUAGAUUCAGACUCAGCAUGCUCAGGAUUACUGUUCCUAUAUUGAGAUUUUGGGCCAAAAUGGUAAGCAUAAUGGCUUAAAUUCCAAGAGAAAAAGUAUACAGUGGUCCCUCAGUUAACGAGCACAA
Molecule: long non-coding RNA, 1309 nt
Organism: Homarus americanus (American lobster)
Lineage: Eukaryota; Metazoa; Arthropoda; Malacostraca; Decapoda; Nephropidae
Exons: 3
Source: RefSeq, a predicted model, not a curated record